Molecule: long non-coding RNA, 238 nt
Filed under: Callithrix jacchus (white-tufted-ear marmoset)
Lineage: Eukaryota; Metazoa; Chordata; Mammalia; Primates; Cebidae
Description: lncRNA (ENSCJAG00000085755.1)
Source: RNAcentral
CUUGAUUUGCCACAACAUAAACUUCCCUCGGUGCAAUUGAGAAUGGAGCAGGAUGGGUGUAUCCUGACUUAAGAAGGCAUUUGCCACAUGAGUAUCAGUCUGCUAUUUCUCAGGUACUCAACAUCAAAGUAACAUGCAGAUAGAUGGUAGUCACAAUCAUCUUCCAGCAUGAUGAAGAUUGAGAGUAAAAUCCAGCAGUGAGAUUCGGAGUCUGAAGAUGCAAAUAGAAAAUAAAAAC